Molecule: ribosomal RNA, 579 nt
Filed under: uncultured bacterium
Lineage: Bacteria
Description: partial 16S ribosomal RNA
Rfam family: Bacterial small subunit ribosomal RNA
Source: RNAcentral
UGGGAAUUUGGACAAUGGGCGAAAGCCUGAUCCAGCAAUGCCGCGUGUGUGAAGAAGGCCUUCGGGUUGUAAAGCACUUUUGUCCGGAAAGAAAUCCUUGGCUCUAAUACAGUCGGGGGAUGACGGUACCGGAAGAAUAAGCACCGGCUAACUACGUGCCAGCAGCCGCGGUAAUACGUAGGGUGCAAGCGUUAAUCGGAAUUACUGGGCGUAAAGCGUGCGCAGGCGGUUUGCUAAGACCGAUGUGAAAUCCCCGGGCUCAACCUGGGAACUGCAUUGGUGACUGGCAGGCUAGAGUAUGGCAGAGGGGGGUAGAAUUCCACGUGUAGCAGUGAAAUGCGUAGAGAUGUGGAGGAAUACCGAUGGCGAAGGCAGCCCCCUGGGCCAAUACUGACGCUCAUGCACGAAAGCGUGGGGAGCAAACAGGAUUAGAUACCCUGGUAGUCCACGCCCUAAACGAUGUCAACUAGUUGUUGGGGAUUCAUUUCCUAGUAACGUAGCUAACGCGUGAAGUUGACCGCCUGGGGAGUACGGUCGCAAGAUUAAAACUUAAAUGAAUUGACGGGGUCAUAGCUGUUU